GGAAGGAUCAUUUAAAUAUCAAUUUUUAAUUGAUAAACCGUUGAACCCCUUUGUGAAAAUUUAUUUUUACAAAAACCAAUAACCUUCACUAUUUAUAAUCCUUAAAAAUUCACAACUAUUAGCAGUGGAUACCUCGGUUAUCAUCACGAUGAAGAACGCAGCAAAGCGCGAUAGUAAUUGCGAAUUGCAGAAUUCAGUGAAUCAUCGUAACUUUGAACGCAUGUUGCGCUCUUGGGAAUCCCUAAGAGCAUGCCUCUUUCAGUGUCAUUUGUUUAAAUGCAAUUUAUUGCGAUUAGUUUAUGACCCUGUGUCAUGUUGACUUAAAUUCUAAAAGUGGUAGAUUUCUCCUAAAAGAAUUCGCGUCGGUUUGGUGUAAAUCUUUCCAAUCGCUUAUUUUAGCAGGCUAUAUCUGUGACUUCCAUUCCUAUUUGGGAAUGAUACUUUCUAAUACGACCUGAAAUGAGGUAAGAUUACCCGCUGAGUUUAAGCAUAUUCGUAAGCGGAGGAAAAGAAAUUAACUAAGAUUCUCCUAGUAACUGCGAGUGAACAGAGACGAGCUCAACCUUUAAUCUUUGUUGGAUUCCUUCAAAGAGUUGUAGGGUACGGAGACACGCUCAGAGUAAUCCUGAAUCUAAGUUUGCUGGAAAGCAGCUGUCAUAGAGGGUGAUAAUCCCGUCUAUGGUUCGGAGUAUUGUUCGUACGAGCUGUUUUCUAAGAGUCGGGUUGCUUGGGAAUGCAGUCUUAAAUGGGUGGUAAAUUCCAUCUAAAGCUAAAUAUCGAUGAUAAACCGAUAGCGCACAAGUACCGUAAGGGAAAGGUGAAAAGGACUUUGAAAAGAGAGUCAAAAGUACUUGAAACUGCUAAUAGGUAACGGAUAGAAACCUUUGCUCUAGGUCGUUGCAUUUGUCGGUCUGCAGUGGAGACAUUGUGUUGGCAUGUCCCUUAACCGGGAUAGCUGGUACUAAGUUGAAUCUGUGGAUUGGUGUAUGUGGCGCGGGAAUGUCAUGCUGGGUUCGGUUUGAGACAUAAAGUUGGUGUGGCGGUAGGUGUGUGAGCAAUGUACUUUGUGAUCCCCGAAUACGCACCUUGUUUUCUCUCGAGCUGGACCAAGGCCUCGAAUAUGACAAGAGGGUUUCUAUUCACCCGUCUUGAAACACGGACCAAGGAGUCGGACGUAUAUGCAAGUAUUAGGGUGCAAAACCCGAAUGCGGAAUGAAAGUGAAGCGGCACCUAGUGUGUUGUUAGGUAUCAAGCCUUUUUGGGCAGCAGUACCGCCCGGCUCUUCCCUAGUGUUGAGUACGAGGUCGAGCAUAUACGUUCGGACCCGAAAGAUGGUGAACUAUGCCUGAGCAGGGUGAAGCCAGGGGAAACUCUGGUGGAAGCUCGUAGCGAUACUGACGUGCAAAUCGUUCGUCAGACUUGGGUAUAGGGGCGAAAGACCAAUCGAACCAUCUAGUAGCUGGUUUCCUC
RNAcentral lists this unclassified non-coding RNA (1470 nucleotides) under uncultured fungus. Its description in RNAcentral is "sequence contains 18S rRNA gene, ITS1, 5.8S rRNA gene, ITS2, 28S rRNA gene". The stretch from base 451 to 1470 matches the Rfam family "Eukaryotic large subunit ribosomal RNA", at positions 1 to 961 of the family's 3401-position model. The record is from RNAcentral. Lineage: Eukaryota; Fungi.